UGGUGGAGUGAUUUGUCUGCUUAAUUGCGAUAACGAACGAGACCUUAACCUGCUAAAUAGCCAGGCCGGCUCUCGCUGGUCGCCGGCUUCUUAGAGGGACUGUCAGUGUCUAACUGACGGAAGUUUGAGGCAAUAACA
RNAcentral lists this ribosomal RNA (138 nucleotides) under uncultured eukaryote. Its description in RNAcentral is "partial 18S ribosomal RNA". It matches the Rfam family "Eukaryotic small subunit ribosomal RNA", at positions 1299 to 1458 of the family's 1831-position model. The record is from RNAcentral.